CUUCUUCAUUUAAUUAACUUCUCAGCUCCCAUUCUGACCCUCCGGUCAUCCUUGCAGCUCGGGCACCAACUCCUCACCAACAUCGAGAUGACAAACAAGGCGGUGGAAGGUCAGCAGGCCGAGGCUGCCCACCUUAAGGAAAUGGCCCUCGAGGCGGCCGAUCUCUGAGAGGUGCUUGAGAGAGAGAGAGACAGACCUCGGUGGAACAGAAGGCCGCCUUGGAGGAGAUGGUGAGGAGGGCGGAGGCCGAGGUUGCCAACAUGGUGGAACAGAUCCCGACCCUGAUCUCGGAGGCCAGGGGUCAAGCGGUGGAGGAGUUCAAGGCUUCCACCGAAAUGAAGAAGUUGAAGGUUGAGUUCGGCCAAGCCGCAUUCAAUAA
This 379-nucleotide long non-coding RNA is filed under the name Elaeis guineensis (African oil palm). RNAcentral describes it as "long non-coding RNA (EGUI_LNC058446)". The record is from RNAcentral. Lineage: Eukaryota; Viridiplantae; Streptophyta; Magnoliopsida; Arecales; Arecaceae.